AUAGCUAUCACUCGCCGCGGGCUGUGCGAGCCCCGCCCCCUACCAGGAGCCGUAUUUCCGGGUUGGGGCCCGGCGCGCCUGUAGAGGGAGGCCGAGCGAGCCAAUCCGAGGUGACGAGGAGGGGCCGGGUCGGGAGCGCCGAGCUGUCAACCGCGUUCCAGGUCAGGUAAACUGAGGCUCAGUUGCCAGCUGCCCAAGGUCACGCCUGGGGCAGCAGCAGGGAUGAACUCGAACCUACUGCCUGGACGACUUGAAUUUGAUUCACGGGUCACGGCGAGAUCUCACUAUCGAGACCUGACUGGCCUCAUACUUGCGGCAAUCCUGUCUCAGCCUCCCAGCUGCUGAAAUGACAGGAGUGAGGAGGACUUGUCUGCAAAGCAGGCACCUUACUGCGUCAUCUCUACAGGCCUUCUCCAUUUUUUUUUCAGUGUUUGGAAUGAACUCAAGACCUCACACAUGCUAGAUUAUCUCUAAAUUAAAGGUUUCUAAAUACACCCA
Molecule: long non-coding RNA, 498 nt
Organism: Apodemus sylvaticus (European woodmouse)
Lineage: Eukaryota; Metazoa; Chordata; Mammalia; Rodentia; Muridae
Exons: 3
Source: RefSeq, a predicted model, not a curated record